RNAcentral lists this long non-coding RNA (205 nucleotides) under Chinchilla lanigera (long-tailed chinchilla). RNAcentral's name for it is "lncRNA (ENSCLAG00000025842.1)". The record is from RNAcentral. Lineage: Eukaryota; Metazoa; Chordata; Mammalia; Rodentia; Chinchillidae.
CCGCCCUGAAAGCCAGAAAAUUCAAAUUCGGAGUUAUAUUUUGACAACUGUUACACAUUAACCCUAUGUGGUCACAGCACGGUUGGCAGCAAGUAUGGGAAGAGCAGAGCACAAGCAAACCUACCAGUGAAGCCGAUCUCUUAUUUCCAAGUUGAGAACUGACACUAAGCAUUGAUAUUUGUGAAUAGCUAACAUUUUAUUAGGU